Molecule: ribosomal RNA, 687 nt
Filed under: uncultured bacterium
Lineage: Bacteria
Description: bacterial SSU rRNA
Rfam family: Bacterial small subunit ribosomal RNA
Source: RNAcentral
GCGGCGAACGGCGUAGUAAGGCGUAGGAACGUACCCCUCGGUCGGGAAUAACCACGGGAAACUGUGGAUAAUGCCCGAUGACCUCUGAGGAGCAAAGGUGAGAUUCCGCCGGGGGAGCGGCCUACGUGAUAUUAGCUGGAUGGUGAGGUAAUGGCUCACCAUGGCAAUGAUGUCUAGGGGGUGUGAGAGCAUGGCCCCCACGACCGGAACUGAGACACUGUCCGGACACCUACGGGUGGCUGCAGUCGAGAAUCUUCGGCAAUGCGCGAAAGCGUGACCGAGCGAUGCCGCGUGGUGGAUGAAGGCCCUUGGGUUGUAAACACCUGUCAGAGGGGAUGAAAUCCUGGUUGGCUAUCCUUCCAGGUUGACAGAGCCUCAAAGGAAGCACGGGCUAAGUACGUGCCAGCAGCCGCGGUAACACGUACUGUGCGAACGUUAUUCGGAAUCACUGGGCUUAAAGGGUGCGUAGGCGGCGAAUCAAGUCAGGUGUGAAAGGCCUGAGCUCAACUGAGGCAUUGCGCUUGAAACUGAUUCGCUUGAGUAUUUCAGGGGUGUGCGGAACUGCCAGUGGAGCGGUGAAAUGCGUAGAUAUCAGGAGGAACACCGGUGGCGAAAGCGGCUCACUGGACCAUUACUGACGCUGAGGUGCGAAAGCUAGGGUAGCGAACGGGAUUAGAUACCCUGGUA